Cinara cedri is the source of this 243-nucleotide non-coding RNA. The record is from the annotation of a GenBank genome assembly. NCBI's taxonomy places the organism in Eukaryota, Metazoa, Arthropoda, Insecta, Hemiptera, Aphididae.
CUUGGCCUAUAAAUCCACCAUUGAUGGGAUUCAUCUUGUUAUGUUAAUACCUUUACUCUACUGGCAGAUGUUAACUUUACGAUGUCUACUAUCUACUCGACAACAUAAGAAAUUUCAUUCUCUUAGCCUAGUGUUCUCAUUACCACAAACUACCAUUUUAAUUGUCCUCUGUACCAUUUGAUGUUUGAUGCAUUAGACCAAUAAGGACUACAGAGUAAUUUUGAAAUAAAUACGUAUCAAAUA